AGUUCAACGGCCGCGGUACCCUAACCGUGCAAAGGUAGCGUAAUCACUUGUCUAUUAAUUGUAGACCUGUAUGAAAGGCAUAAUGAGGGUCUAACUGUCUCUUUUAGUAAAUCAAUUAAACUGAUCUCCUAGUCCAAAAGCUAGGAUGCCAACAUAAGACCAGAAGACCCUGUGAAACUUUAACUAAACUAUUAAACCACAUAAUAGCUCCUUUAGGUUGGGGCGACCUUGGAAAAAAAAAGAACUUCCAAACACACAUUACAUAAUAAUACAAUACAAGGCUAACAAGCCUAUCACGACCCAGCAUGGCUGAUAACUGAACCAAGCUACUCCAGGGAUAACAGCGCUAUCUUCUUCAAGAGCCCAUAUCAAAAAGAAGGUUUACGACCUCGAUGUUGGAUCAGGACAUCCUAACGGUGCAACCGCUAUUAAGGGUUCGUUUGUUCAACGAUUAACAGUCCUACGUG
RNAcentral lists this ribosomal RNA (467 nucleotides) under Aipysurus mosaicus. RNAcentral's name for it is "partial 16S ribosomal RNA". It matches the Rfam family "Bacterial large subunit ribosomal RNA", at positions 1921 to 2602 of the family's 2925-position model. The record is from RNAcentral. Lineage: Eukaryota; Metazoa; Chordata; Lepidosauria; Squamata; Elapidae.